Molecule: small RNA, 317 nt
Filed under: Pongo abelii (Sumatran orangutan)
Lineage: Eukaryota; Metazoa; Chordata; Mammalia; Primates; Hominidae
Description: processed transcript
Source: RNAcentral
UCUUAUCUCAUAAGCAGGACAUUCCCUUUCUAAACCACAUGUGAUCGCCUUAUUGGAACAAUGGAAAGAGCCUGAAGUGACAGUGAGGAAAGAUGGAAGAAGAUGGUGCACAGAUUUGCAGUUGGAAGAUGAUACAAUCGGCCAUAAAGAAAUGCCCACCUCUGAAAACUGUCCAUCUUUUGCUCUACAUCAGAAAAUAAGUAGACAGAAACCAUGUGAAUGUCGGGAAUAUGGAAAGACUCUUUGUCAAGACUCAAAGCCUGUUCAACAUGAAAGAAUACAUAGUAGUGAAAAACCCAACAGAUGUAAAGAAUGUG